This 299-nucleotide unclassified non-coding RNA is filed under the name plant metagenome. Its description in RNAcentral is "partial contains 5.8S ribosomal RNA, internal transcribed spacer 2, and large subunit ribosomal RNA". The stretch from base 1 to 105 matches the Rfam family "5.8S ribosomal RNA", at positions 50 to 154 of the family's 154-position model. The record is from RNAcentral.
GAAAUGCGAUAAGUAAUGUGAAUUGCAGAAUUCAGUGAAUCAUCGAAUCUUUGAACGCACAUUGCGCUCGCCAGUAUUCUGGCGAGCAUGCCUGUUCGAGCGUCAUUUCAACCAUCAAGGUCUGCUUGCGUUGGGGAUCCGCGGCUGCCCGCGGUCCCUCAAAAACAGUGGCGGGCUCGCUAGUCACACCGAGCGUAGUAACUCUACAUCGCUAUGGUCGUGCGGCGGGUUCUUGCCGUAAAACCCCCAAUUUCUAAGGUUGACCUCGGAUCAGGUAGGAAUACCCGCUGAACUUAAGC